This 468-nucleotide ribosomal RNA is filed under the name uncultured bacterium. RNAcentral's name for it is "partial 16S ribosomal RNA". It matches the Rfam family "Bacterial small subunit ribosomal RNA", at positions 28 to 507 of the family's 1533-position model. The record is from RNAcentral.
GACGAACGCUGGCGGCGUGCUUAACACAUGCAAGUCGAACGGAAAGGCCCUGCUUUUGUGGGGUGCUCGAGUGGCGAACGGGUGAGUAACACGUGAGUAACCUGCCCUUGACUUUGGGAUAACUUCAGGAAACUGGGGCUAAUACCGGAUAGGAGCUCCUGCUGCAUGGUGGGGGUUGGAAAGUUUCGGCGGUUGGGGAUGGACUCGCGGCUUAUCAGCUUGUUGGUGGGGUAGUGGCUUACCAAGGCUUUGACGGGUAGCCGGCCUGAGAGGGUGACCGGCCAAAAUGGGACAGGGAAAACGCCCAGACCCCCACGGGGGGGAAGAGGGGGGGAUAUUGACAAAAGGGGGGGAGGCCGGGGGAGGAACCGCCGGUGGGGGAAGAAGGGCUUUGGGGUUUAAACCCGCUUCCCCUGUGGAGAAGGGGGAGGGGAGGGAAAUGGGAAAAGAAGCACCGCCAAAUACGUG